CCUACGGGUGGCAGCAGUAGGGAAUAUUGCUCAAUGGGGGAAACCCUGAACCAGCAACGCCGCGUGGAGGAUGAAGGUUUUCGGAUUGUUAACUCCUUUUGUUAGAGAAGAUAAUGACGGUACCUAACGAAUAAGCACCGGCUAACUCCGUGCCAGCAGCCGCGGGAAUACGGAGGGUGCAAGCGUUACUCGGAAUCACUGGGCGUAAAGCGUGCGUAGGCGGGAUAGCAAGUCAGAUGUUAAAUCCUAUGGCUUAACCAUAGAACUGCAUUUGAAACUGUUAGUCUAGAGUAUGGGAGAGGUAGGUGGAAUGCGUGGUGUAGGGGUGAAAUGCGUAGAGAUCAAGAGGAAUACUGAUUGCGAAGGCGACCUGCUAGAACAUAACUGACGCUGAUGCGCGAAAGCGUGGGGAGCAAACAGGAUUAGAUACCCUUGUAGUC
Molecule: ribosomal RNA, 440 nt
Filed under: uncultured bacterium
Lineage: Bacteria
Description: partial 16S ribosomal RNA
Rfam family: Bacterial small subunit ribosomal RNA
Source: RNAcentral